RNAcentral lists this ribosomal RNA (292 nucleotides) under uncultured bacterium. Its description in RNAcentral is "partial 16S ribosomal RNA". It matches the Rfam family "Bacterial small subunit ribosomal RNA", at positions 505 to 796 of the family's 1533-position model. The record is from RNAcentral.
GUGUCAGCAGCCGCGGUAACACGGGGGGAGCAAGCGUUGUUCGGAAUCACUGGGCGUAAAGGGCGUGUAGGCGGUCCGGUAAGUGAGAUGUGAAAUCCCUCGGCUCACCCGAGGACCUGCAUCUCAAACUGCCUGACUCGAGUACGGGAGAGGAUGUGGGAAUUCCUGGUGUAGCGGUGAAAUGCGUAGAUAUCAGGAGGAACACCGGUGGCGAAAGCGCACAUCUGGCCCGAUACUGACGCUGAGGCGCGAAAGCUAGGGGAGCAAACGGGAUUAGAAACCCCUGUAGUCC